RNAcentral lists this ribosomal RNA (472 nucleotides) under uncultured bacterium. Its description in RNAcentral is "bacterial SSU rRNA". It matches the Rfam family "Bacterial small subunit ribosomal RNA", at positions 28 to 526 of the family's 1533-position model. The record is from RNAcentral.
GACGAACGCUGGCGGCGUGCUUAACACAUGCAAGUCGAACGAGGCACUUGUGCCUAGUGGCGAACGGGUGAGUAACACGUGAGCAACCUGCCCCUGGCUCUGGGAUAGCCUCCGGAAACGGGGAUUAAUACCGGACAUGACCUGCUGCGGCAUCGCGGCGGGUGGAAAGUUUUUCGGCCGGGGAGGGGCUCGCGGCCUAUCAGCUUGUUGGGGGGGUAACGGCCCACCAAGGCGACGACGGGUAGCCGGCCUGAGAGGGCGACCGGCCACACAGGGACUGAGACACGGCCCAGACUCCUGCGGGAGGCAGCAGUGGGGAAUAUUGCACAAUGGGGGAAACCCUGAUGCAGCGACGCCGCGUGCGGGAUGAAGGCCUUCGGGUUGUAAACCGCUUUCACCACAGACGAAGCGCGAGUGACGGUAUGUGGGGAAGAAGCGCCGGCUAACUACGUGCCAGCAGCCGCCGUAACAC